This 137-nucleotide small nucleolar RNA is filed under the name Echinops telfairi (small Madagascar hedgehog). RNAcentral's name for it is "Small nucleolar RNA SNORA61 (ENSETEG00000025095.1)". The record is from RNAcentral. Lineage: Eukaryota; Metazoa; Chordata; Mammalia; Afrosoricida; Tenrecidae.
CCCCUCCAGAGCCCUCACCCAUCAGCUCUACACAUUGAUCUGAGUGACAAUAAAGGGGGAAAAGCUAAUCUGAAAUAGACUUGGAUUCUUUUUUUUCAUUCUUUUGCGAUGUACAAAUUGGUUUAAAAAUAACAAAA